Molecule: long non-coding RNA, 1307 nt
Organism: Prosopis cineraria
Lineage: Eukaryota; Viridiplantae; Streptophyta; Magnoliopsida; Fabales; Fabaceae
Exons: 2
Source: RefSeq, a predicted model, not a curated record
CUUGCCACCUCCCUGUGGAGAUAGAGCAUAGGGCCUAUUGGGCCAUCAAGAAACUAAACUUGGAUUUCCAUCUUUCGGCUAAGGAGAGAUUUCUUCAAAUGCAAGAACUUGAGGAGCUUAGGUUGGAUGCCUAUGAGUCUUCUAGAAUCUAUAAGGAGAAAACAAGGAUCCUUCAUGACAAGCUAAUCUUGAGGAAAAAGUUCCAAGAAGGAGAUCAAGUCCUCUUGUUCCAAACAAGGUUUAUUCAUAAGCAUGCCAAGUUGAAGUCUAAGUGGGAGGGACCAUAUUUAGUGACCAAGGUGUUUCCCUAUGGGGUUUUGCAACUCUUGAAUAAAGCCACGGGUUCCACUAUGCAAAUCAAUGGUCACCUAUGCAAGCUCUACAAAGAUGCCAAAUCACUUCAAAAGGAGGAGGACUUCUCUCAACAUGUUUUUGAACCACCAUGAUAAGGUGGCAUGUGACUUGUGCAUCAAUUGGGCAAUUGAGGUCAACACUCCUUGAGGACAAUGGCUGAUGGUUUGCACGUGAAUUAUGAUUAUUUUGAGGGAUUAGAUCAGCUAAAAUGAUGUGGAUGACACAUGGGAAAUUAGGCACACAUUGGAAUCAUCUACAAACCAAUAGGAAGUUGCCACCUUGCAAGUGUGACAAGGCUCCCAUUUACAUUUUAAUUUCUUUUUCCUUAUUUUAAUUAAGCUUCAGCUGAUGGGAGACACCAAGGAGCACGCCAUUUUAAGUCCCAAAUGGGAUCCAACACAUAUCUCAUUCAUCUUCCACAUUCUCUCUCUCUUGUUCAUAGUGUUCUUCAUUUUCUCUCUUUUGUUCUUCAUUUUCCAGCACCCUAACCUCCAUUUUCAGCCACCAAACCUCCACAAAACUCAUACCAUUCUUCUCCUCUCUUCAUUUUCGUUCCAUCCCUUCCAUUUUCACAAGGAUUGAAGCUCAUUUCCAUCAUUCAAGAGCUAUGGAGUUUGGCCUUCACAAGCAAUCACUAGGGUUCUUGAAGAUGAAGAUUGGCUAAGUUUCUUUGUGGAAUCCUAGAGAGAUGAAGAUGGAGGAUGAGUCUUGAGCUUCAAAUUGGCUAAGUUCUUUUGUUUCCUAUCCUCUUCUCUUUUUACUAGAUGGUUAGAUUCCUUAAUCUAGGGUCUAAUCAUCUUAGCUUAUAAAUUCUAAUUUGAAUUUGAUGUUGAUGUAAAGAGAGAGGAUUGUUUCAUUUAAUUUCUUCCUUGGACAGCCAUGACUGAAUUUUGCCACUCUUUGUUUGGCACAUAAUCUUGUGUUUUUCAAUUAGUGAAUUUCUUGUGUUAAUA